UCGCCUAAUUGGCGAACAAUAUGUGUUACGAACAGUUGUAUAAUUCCACGCGUAAUAAGAAGGCGUCAAUUAGCGGACGUUUAUUCCACCUCCUCUUUCUUUUAUACUUUCAAUCGCCCAAAUUGUUUACCACUUGUAGCACAUCUCCUCUUCCAAGUCAAUCACUUUUCCAUAUUUGGUAGCAACACGGGCAGGUGUCUCCUGGUGUCUCUUGGGACGAGCCGCGUUUAGAAGUGCUCACGGAAGAGAAGAUGAGCAUAAAUUAAAAAGUGAGCAGUGCAUUAAAAAAGGAACGCAGUGCCAUGG
Non-coding RNA from Caenorhabditis elegans, 306 nucleotides. NCBI's taxonomy places the organism in Eukaryota, Metazoa, Nematoda, Chromadorea, Rhabditida, Rhabditidae. The record is from Ensembl.